AAGCGCCCGCGACCAGACCUGCCCGGUUUUUUGGCCCAGGCGUUCUCGCCUGGGUUUUACUGCCGGAUAGGCCAGCAUCGGUUUUGGCGGGGGGACAAAGACGGCGGGAAUGUAGCUCCUCCGGGAGUGUUAUAGCCCAUCGUGUAAUGCCUCCGCCGAGACCGAGGACCGCGCUUUUGCAAGGAUGCUGGCAUAAUGGUCGUCGGCGA
This 209-nucleotide ribosomal RNA is filed under the name Appendicheirospora sp. RNAcentral describes it as "partial large subunit ribosomal RNA". Lineage: Eukaryota; Fungi; Ascomycota; Sordariomycetes; Diaporthales. The record is from RNAcentral.